CCCUUAGAUGUCCUGGGCCGCACGCGCGCUACACUGACAUGUUCAACAAGCCUCCUAGUUCGACAGGAUUUGGGAAAUCUUUGAACGCAUGUCGUGAUAGGGAUAGAUCAUUGCAAUUAUUGAUCUUGAACGAGGAAUUCCUAGUAAACGCGAGUCAUCAGCUCGCAUUGAUUACGUCCCUGCCCUUUGUACACACCGCCCGUCGCUACUACCGAUUGAACGGUUUAGUGAGGGCCUCGGAUUGGUCUCGGCCCGCUCUUUACCGGGCGGCGCCGUUGGUCGAGAAGACGCUCGAACUUGAUCGUUUAGAGGAAGUAAAAGUCGUAACA
Molecule: ribosomal RNA, 329 nt
Filed under: uncultured eukaryote
Lineage: Eukaryota
Description: partial 18S ribosomal RNA
Rfam family: Eukaryotic small subunit ribosomal RNA
Source: RNAcentral